Molecule: long non-coding RNA, 1975 nt
Organism: Felis catus (domestic cat)
Lineage: Eukaryota; Metazoa; Chordata; Mammalia; Carnivora; Felidae
Exons: 3
Source: RefSeq, a predicted model, not a curated record
AAUUUCAGAAAUACAAAAAUGGAUUCACAAUCAGAAGUGCAAAAAGUAGGUAAGUGUUCUGGAUAUCUUCUGUUUGCCCCUCCAGAUUCACUACCCACUGGUUUCUACUUUGCUGUCUGCUCUGGUAAGUAACCCAUUUGGACUACAUCAAGACGGACCCAGCUCCUCCGGCUUUUAAUGUUCCUUGUGACUUGGGAAAUUCACCCAUCAUUCCUCUCACCAACCAAAGGAUGUCAAAUAAAUGACCCAAACAUUCUCUGGCUAGAGCCUUCAGUAAAUCCCUGUGGAAGAAAGUCUGGAGAUCUGCCUCUCUUAUCCAUAUUGCCAUGCCAAGGACAAGGAUAUCCUGGAAGAAAAGCUGGAAAAAACAAGGGCAUUUAUACUCUGGGAUUGUGAAAAUGAUUAGACUCACUGAAUCCUGUAUAUAACAACUGUGUCUGUUGUUGCUAGCCUUUCAACAGAACUGUGCCAGAAUCCAUUUCUCUUUAAAUGCCAUGGAAUGUCAUUGAUACAUGAAAUGACACCCCUGAACUUUGAGGAUGCAGAAGGAAGAUCUCAGUGCAAGACCCUAGUUAUUCAUUAGCAAGUUGGAAUUGGGCUAUCUGUGCCCAUCACUCUUCAUGAAGAAAAUAUAUUCUAUAUAGACUUACUGGUGGAAAAACAUUUCUACAGAAGCUGUCUCAAAUCACUACUGAAUUAAAUCGGGCUGCAAAGGAAUAAAUACUGUAACCAGCAUAACCCUCCUAGCAACUGCAAUAUGGAUAUGCUAAUACUAAGUCAAAGCAUCAUCCUGAUGUCUGUACGGAAGUGCCAUUGUCUCCGAUCAGAUCAGCUGUGAGCUUGGGCCAAUCCUAAGUAGGAUACUCUACUCUAUAUCAUGACAAUUGUUAUUUUCAUCAAAGAUGACAAUAAAUCAUAUUUAUUUUCUUCUUUUGUGUUUCCCAUCAAUAACUCUACCCCCAACACUUUUCCUACCUACAACUUCUAAACAUCUCUUUUUUCUUCUUAAGACCCUUCUCCUCUGCCCUUGCCCUCAAUCUUCCUUAUUUCUUAACACAGUAUACUCUAGAAAUUUCUUAGUGCUCAGUCAUUGUAUGAUUUUUAUCUGGCUCUGGAAAAUUUUUUCUGUUCUUGUUUUCACCUGCUGUGUUUAUAGGGCACUGCUGUGUAUAGUAAGCAUUCAGAACAGGUUUGUGCAUACUGAAAUCUCCACAUUCAGAAAAAUGGCAUUUAUUAAUUUGAGGACUUAAGAUGAGAAAACCCAGGCAUUUCUAUAACUCAGAGGAAACAAACACCUUUACUAUGUAAUGAUGAAUUUUGAUUUCCCAGGAUAACUUUACCAAAAAAAGGAUAGUAGUAAAUGUUUAAAAAUACAGUGACAAGACAUGUAACAUGUGAAUGUUUCAAGCUUCAGACAGCUGCAGUGAAACGAUUAGAUUUUUUUAAUGAAAAAAAAUAUGAAGGGUCACCGAGAAAAAACUAUGAUAAACAUCGUUGAUUUAUAGUUUCUUGACUUGGAAAUAAAGAGUUAUGCUUGAGUUAUUUUGUUACAUUUAUUUAUUUAUUGUGUUUCAUUCCACAAAGGAUUUGAGAAUUUGAGUCAGCUUACCAUUCCAAACAAUCAUGUUUUUAACUCUUCCUGAUAUAUUAUUUCCAUCUACCCAAAUAGUUUUCUGGUGUGCUGAAUUAAAUUACACCUAAAACUUGGAACUGAUAUACUGUGGGAAAGGAAGUUUACAUAAAAUGAUAAUAAUCUUGCUACUCUGGACUUAAGCUCGUUUUAAAUAACAUUUGAGACAGGAAAAUGAACAGCAUGCUUGUAAUGGGGGCAAGGCUGGGGUGUUCCUGAUCUUCUUUGCCUUCAUCUGAACUGAAGAUGUGUUCUCAGCCACCUUUCCUCAAUUAGUAAGCUAUUUUGAAAAGAUGUGGUAAACACUUAUAAAAUGAGGACUGUGAAAACCUCUCUGUAACUGCA